Non-coding RNA from Podarcis lilfordi (Lilford's wall lizard), 161 nucleotides. NCBI's taxonomy places the organism in Eukaryota, Metazoa, Chordata, Lepidosauria, Squamata, Lacertidae. The record is from the annotation of a GenBank genome assembly.
UCCUAAUGCUUAGUUGAAAUCUGCUUCCUUGCAAUUUCCAUCCUCUGGAGCAACAGAGAACAUGUCUACUCCAGCUUCUGUGUGAUAGCCCUCCAGGUAUUUGAAAACUGCUAUCAUGUCUCCCCUUAAUCUUCUCCAGACAAAAUACACCCAGCCUUCUC